Long non-coding RNA from Limanda limanda (common dab), 239 nucleotides. RefSeq lists it as uncharacterized. The record is from RefSeq and is a predicted model, not a curated record. NCBI's taxonomy places the organism in Eukaryota, Metazoa, Chordata, Actinopteri, Pleuronectiformes, Pleuronectidae. The transcript is spliced from 3 exons.
AAGCAGCAGACGGAGGAGACGUGAAGUCUGAGGCUGAUAAACAUUGAAACUGGUGUGAAAGAUCAUUUCACUGUGUUCUGCUGCAGCGCGGCCUGAACCACAACUGAGCCGCAGCCGGCCCGGUGCAACAUGGACGAGGCCACUUCAGAGCAAGUUGGACCCUCACACACAAAGGGUCAGGACCACAGACUGAGAGCAGAGUCUCCAGGGUCCAGCUGUCUGUCUCUGAAGAGUAACAU